UUCUUGUGUAAGUAGUAUAUGCAUCUUGCAGUUCAAUUUUAUGGGAAGACAACAAGCUGCCCGAGAGACUGUGUGUCCAUAAAGACUGAUCAAGACACAAUUAGAGAGGGCCACAGGUUCAUAAUUUCUGAAGAUGAUGACAUGGAAUCAACGUGGGAGAAGAGGCUGGUGAAAAGAUAUUAUGAUAAACUUUUCAAAGAAUAUUGCAUUGCUGAUAUGUCUCACUUCAAGGAAGGCAAGAUUGGCUUAAGAUGGAGGAUGGAAAAUGAGGUCAUAUCUGGGAAAGGUGAAUCCGGCCAAUUUGUAUGCGGUAACAAGAAAUGCAGUGAGAAAGAGAAUCUAGGAAGUUAUGAGGUAAAUUUUUCCUAUUUUGAAGCUGGAGAAAAUAAGCAAGCUCUAGUGAAAUUGGUGGCAUGUAAAAGAUGUGCAGAGAAACUUGUCUAUAGAAGGCAGAAAGAGAGGGAGCACAAGAAGAGCAGUGAUGUAGGCGCAAGCAAUAGGAAGAGGGGAAAAGACAAAAAUAUCGAUGACAAUGAUAUUGAUGAUGGAUACGAGGAUUCAAAUUUAAGGAAAAAAGAAGGUCGGGCAGGGAGCUGUUGAGCAAAGAGCUUCUGAAUUGCCGAACGGGAGGUCAAGCAUAGUUGCCAAACUAACAACUAACGAGCCGGGAGGUUGGGCAGGAAACUGCUGAACAGGAGGUUGAGUAGAGCUGUCGAUUGCCGGGCUAGGAGGCAAUGCUACCGAGUUGCUAGAUAGGGAGCAAGACUGUCAGAACAUGGCUCAACCACAUUAGCAACCAAGCACAAGCUACUUGUGGCGAACGGAUCUGUACUCUAAUGCUAUCACUGGAAAACAAGAGUUGCCAAGAAGGGCUGCCUAACAAGGAGGUGGAGGAUGUGGGGGAAGGAGUUGGAUCGACUCUUCAGUGUGUGCUUUAUGAACUCUACCUUUUGCCCAAGGACGACGGACUUCAACUUCAGGGACUAAAGCGCGAAUAGUUGAUGAAGAUUUCGAGGAGUUUUUAGAAGGAAUGUUCCCAUGACUUGAAUACUUUCUUCAAGAAAAAAACCCAUAGUAGCCUGGGAACUAGUUUCCGGUUCUUAAUUGUGAUAUAUAUUGCCUAACUUCAUUUGCGGACUGAUCCUCUUGGCCUUGUUCAAAUGCAUUACUGAAUUUUCUAUGUUCUUGACAUUUCUGGUGAAGAAUUAAUGGUUGACAAUUACAUUCCCAACAUUUUGAAAAUGUUAUUUUGCUAGUUCAAAGAUGGCAAGAACAUACUCGAGUGAUUUUAUUUCA
This is an RNA transcript of Zingiber officinale, 1296 nucleotides long. It is a transcript of the gene named protein FRA10AC1-like, with no coding region annotated. The record is from RefSeq and is a predicted model, not a curated record. The transcript has 10 exons. NCBI's taxonomy places the organism in Eukaryota, Viridiplantae, Streptophyta, Magnoliopsida, Zingiberales, Zingiberaceae.